GCGCGUGAUGAAUAAAUACAAACGACCAAUAAUCGGAAGCGUCAGUAACACCUCACGCAUGACGCCACUUUGAAUGCAAUACUAAUUAUCUGACUC
Molecule: small nucleolar RNA, 96 nt
Organism: Trypanosoma brucei brucei TREU927
Lineage: Eukaryota; Euglenozoa; Kinetoplastea; Trypanosomatida; Trypanosomatidae
Source: RefSeq, a predicted model, not a curated record